RNAcentral lists this ribosomal RNA (435 nucleotides) under uncultured bacterium. RNAcentral describes it as "partial 16S ribosomal RNA". It matches the Rfam family "Bacterial small subunit ribosomal RNA", at positions 29 to 507 of the family's 1533-position model. The record is from RNAcentral.
AGCGAACGCUGGCGGCAGGCUUAACACAUGCAAGUCGAGCGGGCACUUUCGGGUGUCAGCGGCGGACGGGUGAGUAACGCGUGGGAACGUGCCCUCUGGUUCGGAAUAACUCAGGGAAACUUGAGCUAAUACCGGAUACGCCCUUUUGGGGAAAGGCUUGCUGCCGGAGGAUCGGCCCGCGUCUGAUUAGCUAGUUGGUGAGGUAACGGCUCACCAAGGCGACGAUCAGUAGCUGGUCUGAGAGGAUGAUCCGCCACACUGGGACUGAGACACGGCCCAGACUCCUACGGGAGGCAGCAGUGGGGAAUAUUGGACAAUGGGCGCAAGCCUGAUCCAGCCAUGCCGCGUGAGUGAUGAAGGCCUUAGGGUUGUAAAGCUCUUUUAUCCGGGACGAUAAUGACGGUACCGGAGGAAUAAGCCCCGGCUAACUUCGUG